AGGCUGGGCCCCACGGGCUGCCCUCUUCUGCGGGCACGCGGCGCGCGGAGAAGCCGCCAGGCUGCGGCCGCGCUGGGGAGACCGGCCCGGAGCUCACGGGCGGCCCGCGGGCUGUGGGCUCCUCCGAGAGGGAAGGCGCGGCCUGGGCGGGUCCCACAGUCCCUCCUGCCGCUGGAGCCCCCGUGCCCUUCUGGAGCCGAGCCCCUGCCCCUGGCCGUGUUUCCUGGAGACCGAGGCUGCCUGAGGCUUUAGUGGGCAGUGCAGGGUAGACCCCUCGGCUGGGGGCGGCCGGUGGAAGACCCCGAGUCCUUCACAAGUCUCUGCCCAGAUGCGUCCACCAGCCUGAAACCUCCGCGUCCUGGUCCCAAGGAAGCCCCGGCCGGUGGGUUUGCACAGACAGCCCCGCGCACUGGCACGGGCUGCGGUGGAACUUUCCUUCCCUCACUGGGAAAGUGCCCACCCGCCCGUGGCCACUGCUCAGGACGGUGCCUUCCGGGCAGCUCCCCCGCUGCGGCCUCCCGCCUCGGCAGGGCAAGGCCAAGAACCAUGCGACCAAACCAAGUGUGUUGUUCUGGGACCUGGGUCCCCACAGGGUUCAGACUCAAGUUCCCAACCCCGGGGGCUGCCCCGGGGGCCCUAAGAGGACUUCGGAUUGGAGUCAGAAGGCAGAGCGGCCGGCAGGUGGGGCCGUCAGCCCAUCGGCUCCGCCAGGUCAGUGGGCAGACUUUCCGGGGUUCAGGGAGUGAGUUUCACGGUGGCAGAGUGACUCUGACCUCCUCCGUCAGGAAGGCAGAGAGCUGUGUGGACCCGCGUGGGGCUGAGGUGGCCGACGGGAGUCCAGCCCUGGUGUGGGGCUGCUGUCUGUGGACUGGGCAUUCCGUAAGGGGUUGCUCCAUUUUUAAACGGAGUGUCCCGUGGACGCCGAGCCAUUGGCUGUGCUGAUCUCUGACUCAGCCAGUCUCUGACCCUCCCAGCUGGCCCUCGGUCACUUACAGGGAGCUCUCGCUUACACACAGGCUGCCUUAAGCCCCGGACCUCUGUUUUCCGCGCUGUGAAAUGGGAACACUGAUAGAAUUAGCUGAUGUUUAUUAGGGGCCCACGACGGCAGCGCUCGAGUCACCUGGGUCCCAGCCACGCGUGGAGCAGGAAUCUAACUCGCAGCAUGUAGUGUCCCCCGUCCCUCCUCCUGGAUGUCUGCUCCGGCCCCUCUCGGGAGCCCCGCUGCGUACCUCAACCUCGGUCCUCCCCUCAUCUCCCACCUGAACCCAGCGCCACCCAGCGGCCUAGGGGGCCGCCCAGGGGUCCGCUGGGCAGCUUGUCUGUCCCUCUGCUUCGCCAGGGAGGCCGGCUCCACCUGGCAUAGCCUCCCUGCUUGGGUGGCCGUUGUAUCGCCAAGCCCGGCACGCACAGGUGCUGAGGAAGACAGUGCCGGCAGGAGAGAAGGAAAAACCGUGUGGGUCAGCUCAUUGCCCCUUACCAAGGCUCGGCAUGUGACUCCCUCCGCUGUCGCCAGGGUUCAGGAGCUUCAGGUCAAAUGCCAGGUGGGGUGCGUCCCUGUCCUGGACUGGGAGUGGGGGUUCCCAGGCAGAGAUGUCAAUCCAGGCGGACACAGGAUGAUGGAGAAGGCUGUGUGUGCGUCCCUGAUGGGGCAGGAGCCCUGCGGGUGCUAAGCAGAGGAGGGCACUGCUGCCUUGUGGGGAGUAGCUUCCGGACAAACACCGAGGACAGGCUCCUUCGCCCCGUGACUGCCCGGAGGGCUUGGCGGCCCAGGAAUGCACCUCACUCCACCGGCUGGCAAGAACAUCCAGUGGCCGCGAGUGGGCAAGGGGUGGGGGCAGCCUGUGGACGGGAGGGCAGCACCCCAGAACAGAGCCAGGGCUACACAACCCUGGGACUCCUGCCGGCCCCCUGAGCAGAGGCCUUCUUAGCUGAGGGGUGGAGGUCCCAUAGCACUGCCCCGUUGGGGGGCUUGUCAGGUGGGGUCAGGACGAGGGGCCAGAGAACCGAGCCUGGGCCUGGGGCUCGGCUUUGUGUGGGAGGUGAUGUCCAUGAUUCAGGGCGCCAGAGGGUGGCUGGGGACCAGUGUGUCCUCGUGCUGGUCAGGGAUGGCAUUUCCCUGGCAGAACAGCAUGUCUGGCAGGAGCAGAGCCAGCCUGGCGCUGUGGGGCUCGGAGCCAUGGUCAGGGUUCCACCAGAGCCAGGACAGGAAGCCGAACUCGGGCUGGGGGAGGAAGGGGUUACCGUCAUGUGGCAGAGCUAAGCGACCAAAGGUCAGAGAGCUCUUCUCGGGUAAAAGCAGGCACCAGGCAGGUCCCAGGUCUGUCCGGUCCCACAGCUGUCCCUAAUGGCCUUGCCUGUUGCUGGACGGGCACGGGGUCUUCACGCGGGUGCGGCCAUCAUCCCAGACUGAGCUGGCUGGUGCCCCGGCCAGCAGCAGGGGCUCCCCCCUGUGGAAGGCGGAGGGACUGCAUGGACAGGUGACCCAGGGCAGGGCAGGCGCUCCUGGGGGUCCCGCCGGUGUCUCCUCCGGGUCAGGGCUCUGGGAGCACGUGCUCAGCGUCAGUGGUGCAGCCACUUGGUUCCUGAACGCGGGUUUGCACGACAUCAGCAGCCGUCAAGGGCAGCAGCUCCUCCUGGUUCCUCCGGCCCCGUUCGGGGUGCAGCCCCGUGAGCCGGGAAGAGGCGGAUGGGAGAUUUCUGCGGCAGAGUUGGAGAACCGAGGCUGUCGAAGGCCCACGACCUUCCCGGUCUGAAGCGACAAGGGCCGCGGGGCCUCAUGCGCAUGUGGGACGGACGCUCCGCGUGUGGCCCAGGGGGUGCUGUGAGUGUGCCCUGGGGUUCUCCUGUGAGCAGAGAGGCCGGUGGGCGGGGCUGAGGCCUCCAGCAAAAGGCUCUGGGUGUUCCGGCCGGUCCGCACGCUCAUUGCUCUGCCCGUUUAUUGGCUAUAAACUGACAAACAGGCGUGACCUA
Mustela lutreola (European mink) is the source of this 2970-nucleotide long non-coding RNA. RefSeq lists it as uncharacterized. Lineage: Eukaryota; Metazoa; Chordata; Mammalia; Carnivora; Mustelidae. The record is from RefSeq and is a predicted model, not a curated record. The transcript is spliced from 2 exons.